RNAcentral lists this ribosomal RNA (444 nucleotides) under uncultured soil bacterium. RNAcentral describes it as "bacterial SSU rRNA". It matches the Rfam family "Bacterial small subunit ribosomal RNA", at positions 26 to 518 of the family's 1533-position model. The record is from RNAcentral.
AGAACGAACGCUGGCGGCAUGCCUAACACAUGCAAGUCGAACGGGACCUUCGGGUCUAGUGGCGCACGGGUGCGUAACGCGUGGGGAUCUGCCCUUAGGUACGGAAUAACUCAGGGAAACUUGAGCUAAUACCGUAUAAUGACUUCGGUCCAAAGAUUUAUCGCCUAGGGAUGAACCCGCGUAGGAUUAGCUUGUUGGUGAGGUAAAGGCUCACCAAGGCGACGAUCCUUAGCUGGUCUGAGAGGAUGAUCAGCCACACUGGGACUGAGACACGGCCCAGACUCCUACGGGAGGCAGCAGUGGGGAAUAUUGGACAAUGGGCGAAAGCCUGAUCCAGCAAUGCCGCGUGAGUGAUGAAGGCCUUAGGGUGUAAAGCUCUUUUACCCGGGAUGAUAAUGACAGUACCGGAGAAUAAGCUCCGGCUAACUCCGCGCCAGCAGCCGC